This 492-nucleotide ribosomal RNA is filed under the name uncultured bacterium. RNAcentral's name for it is "partial 16S ribosomal RNA". It matches the Rfam family "Bacterial small subunit ribosomal RNA", at positions 29 to 507 of the family's 1533-position model. The record is from RNAcentral.
AGUGAACGCUGGCGGUAGGCCUAACACAUGCAAGUCGAACGGCAGCACAGUAAGAGCUUGCUCUUACGGGUGGCGAGUGGCGGACGGGUGAGGAAUACAUCGGAAUCUACUUUUUCGUGGGGGAUAACGUAGGGAAACUUACGCUAAUACCGCAUACGACCUACGGGUGAAAGCAGGGGAUCUUCGGACCUUGCGCGAUUGAAUGAGCCGAUGUCGGAUUAGCUAGUUGGCGGGGUAAAGGCCCACCAAGGCGACGAUCCGUAGCUGGUCUGAGAGGAUGAUCAGCCACACUGGAACUGAGACACGGUCCAGACUCCGACGGGAGGCAGCAGUGGGGAAUAUUGGACAAUGGGCGCAAGCCUGAUCCAGCCAUACCGCGUGGGUGAAGAAGGCCUUCGGGUUGUAAAGCCCUUUUGUUGGGAAAGAAAAGCAGCAGGUUAAUACCCCGCUGUUCUGACGGUACCAAAAGAAUAAGCACCGGCUAACUUCGUG